RNAcentral lists this long non-coding RNA (353 nucleotides) under Lathyrus oleraceus (garden pea). RNAcentral's name for it is "Pisum sativum (pea) long non-coding RNA (PSAT_LNC023550)". The record is from RNAcentral. Lineage: Eukaryota; Viridiplantae; Streptophyta; Magnoliopsida; Fabales; Fabaceae.
AAAGUGAUGACGUAUUUUUCUAGUUAAAUAUAUGAAGUGAUUUGCAGAAAUAUAAAUGCAAUAAACUAAAUUGCAUAAUGAUAUAUCAUGGUUUUUUUUUUCAAACAAGAGUACUUUAAUCUCCUCACACCCCCGUCAGAGAUUUUAAUUAUUGUCAUAUAUUUGUACAAUCCUACCACAAAGAAUUCUUUAACAAGAACAAAGAAGCAUACCACUUUCUUGAUUUCUAAACACAAACAACUAUGGUGGAUUUAGAAUCACCACGAUUUAAAGGAUCUUUUCUAACAAAUAGAAAAAUAUUAUUUUCUAUUUGUAAUAAUAUGUAAUAAGUACAACACUUUCUUACAUAUAAA